GUCUCUGCUAAAUUAUUUCUUCAGAGGAAGCAAAGCCCCUUAUAUGGUUUUACACUCCAUUCCUAAGACACUUGGAGAUGUCUUCUUUCUGCUCUCAUAGAGCGGGUGCUCAUUUCUUUUGAAUCUGAGGGCUUUUAGGACCUUAGGGGUUUCCCAGGCCACCACAUUGGCAUCUAAGCAUGGCAAAAUCAACCCUCUGAGACUGCUCCUGUCACUCCAGAAUUUGUGCAGGGGAAUGUCCAGGCGAGUAGAGAGAGCAGUGCUCAAGUUCCCUGCUGACCAACUCUGCCGGUCUCCACACACACUGCAGAGCUAUGCCCAAGCCCCAGGAAGGAACGUCAUCUCCAGGCUUUCCUCUGAGCUCAGGGACACGAUGUGCUCAUUUUUCUGAGAAAAACACUUUAGUGAGAAGUGACAGCAGACGGUCCUGCAGCUGCACAGAGGCCAGACUGGGACUGCCAGUCCCUGCAGCUCCCCUCUCCCAUCAGGCAGUUUUUGUUAUUGCAGGAUAUUCUGUCCCUGUUUACAAGUUGCCUUCAUUUGAUAGCUGCCUCCAGUUUUCAAAAGAGCUUUCGGGUUCUGUCGGGUUUUUGCUCCAGCACAUCACAGCCAAAAUAAUCAUGACAUCCCUAGAGCAGUAGUUCUUAGCUCUGUUCAUUAGAAUCACGUGUGGAACUUUUAAAAAUUCUGACGUGGACCUGGGCUCUAGACCAAUUACCUCAUAAUCUCUAUGGGUGGUAUCCAGGCAUCAGUAUUUUAUAGUUUCUCACAUGCAGCCAACAUAGAAAACCAGUGCCUGAGGAUAUUCCAACAAGCAGUUCUAUUUCUUUUAAGGACUUCUCACUUGUCCCGCCUAUCAUGUCCAAACCUGCUUGACACAGGCUGUUUCUCUGGAUACCUGCUGUGAUGCAGCCAAGAAGUUGCCAGGUUCAAUGCCUGAGUGGCAGUCGCAAUGCUGCUUGACUACCACAUGCCAGACCAUGUGACUUGGUAAGGACCGUGUGCUGGAACAGAGCCUCGUUCUUUUAUGUAUCUCAGGAUGACCCAAGGCUUCUCACCUCCUUAUCUCCUCCCACACACCUGGGGUGAGCUCUGGACUGAACUAGCCUUAGUUCUAGGACCAAAUACAUACCCGAAAUGACAGCUGAGAAUGGGCCUUCCAGUUCAAGAUUGCAUGGAUCUUAAAUCAUUCAUUUAAUCCUCAGAGCUGACUUUAUCAAUAUAUUCUAAAGUAUUGGCUUUUC
Molecule: long non-coding RNA, 1244 nt
Organism: Herpailurus yagouaroundi (jaguarundi)
Lineage: Eukaryota; Metazoa; Chordata; Mammalia; Carnivora; Felidae
Exons: 2
Source: RefSeq, a predicted model, not a curated record